RNAcentral lists this ribosomal RNA (421 nucleotides) under Bacteroidota bacterium. RNAcentral's name for it is "Bacteroidetes bacterium partial 16S ribosomal RNA". It matches the Rfam family "Bacterial small subunit ribosomal RNA", at positions 355 to 776 of the family's 1533-position model. The record is from RNAcentral. Lineage: Bacteria; Pseudomonadati; Bacteroidota.
UGGGGAAUUUUGCACAAUGGGCGCAAGCCUGAUGCAGCGACGCCGCGUGAGGGAUGAAGGCCUUCGGGUUGUAAACCUUUUUCGCUCAUGGUCAAGCCGCAGCUUUGGGUUGUGGUGAGGGUAGUGGGUAAAGAAGCGCCGGCUAACUACGUGCCAGCAGCCGCGGUAAUACGUAAGGUCCGAGCGUUGUCCGGAAUCAUUGGGCGUAAAGGGUACGUAGGCGGGUAAGCAAGUUAGAAGUGAAAUCCUAUAGCUCAACUAUAGUAAGCUUUUAAAACUGCUCAUCUUGAGGUAUGGAAGGGAAAGUGGAAUUCCUAGUGUAGCGGUGAAAUGCGCAGAUAUUAGGAGGAAUACCGGUGGCGAAGGCGACUUUCUGGCCAUAACCUGACGCUGAGGUACGAAAGCGUGGGUAGCAAACAGG